GAUGAACGCUGGCGGCGUGCUUAAUACAUGUAAGUCGAACGAGGAGCUUUGCUUCGGUAAAACUCCGAGUGGCGAACGGGUGAGUAACGCGUUGGUUACCUGCCCCGAAGUGGGGGAUAACGGCUCGAAAGGGCUGCUAAUACCCCAUGUGGUCGUAGAGGUUAGAGACUCUACGUCUAAAGGCGUAAUUCGCUUCGGGAUGGGCCUGCGUCCCAUCAGCUAGUUGGUAGGGUAAUGGCCUACCAAGGCGACGACGGGUAGGGGGCCUGAGAGGGUGACCCCCACAUUGGCACUGAACGAACGGCCGAAACAACCUACGGGAGGCUG
Molecule: ribosomal RNA, 327 nt
Filed under: uncultured Chloroflexota bacterium
Lineage: Bacteria; Bacillati; Chloroflexota
Description: bacterial SSU rRNA
Rfam family: Bacterial small subunit ribosomal RNA
Source: RNAcentral